AGAUCGAACUAUAGAGUUUGAUCCUGGCUCAGAUUGAACGCUGGCGGCAUGCCUUACACAUGCAAGUCGAACGGCAGCGCGGGAGCAAUCCUGGCGGCGAGUGGCGAACGGGUGAGUAAUACAUCGGAACGUGCCCAAUCGUGGGGGAUAACGCAGCGAAAGCUGUGCUAAUACCGCAUACGAUCUACG
This 189-nucleotide ribosomal RNA is filed under the name Mycobacterium tuberculosis. Its description in RNAcentral is "partial 16S ribosomal RNA". It matches the Rfam family "Bacterial small subunit ribosomal RNA", at positions 1 to 184 of the family's 1533-position model. Lineage: Bacteria; Bacillati; Actinomycetota; Actinomycetes; Mycobacteriales; Mycobacteriaceae. The record is from RNAcentral.